Misgurnus anguillicaudatus (oriental weatherfish) is the source of this 2033-nucleotide long non-coding RNA. RefSeq lists it as uncharacterized. The record is from RefSeq and is a predicted model, not a curated record. NCBI's taxonomy places the organism in Eukaryota, Metazoa, Chordata, Actinopteri, Cypriniformes, Cobitidae.
UGUUCUUCAGCUCGUCUAAAUCAAUGUAUCCAUCUCCAUUCCUUACAAAGACAUCCAUGAACAUUUCUAUAUUAAUACACUUUUGACGAGCCUCUGAACAUUUCUUUGUAGUGGAAAAGGGUUCUUCAUAGUAUAAAAAGGAAGUAGCCUACCUUGGUCAAGGGCACAAUGGUGAAAUGACAUUUACCAAUUGGAUUUCCAACUUACCGCUGCUUUGUAUACAUCAUCCAUGGCUGUCCUGAAUCUGGGAUCUUCUUUUUCCAAAUGUCCUGUUGACUUCACGCAGGUAAUCCAGCACUAAAGCCCAGUCACCCCGCACACUUCUUAACACUGCAGACACAGGACGAAGAGUUCCAGGGCCACCUGUCUUGGACUUUAUGGCUCAGAAAAGACAAAGCCUUUUGUCACUCCCCUUUUCCACUUGAGAGAGAAGAGAGAGAGGGGUAGAAAAGGAAAGAGAGUGGGGCAAAAGGGGCUUUGGGAUGGUAUGGGCUAUAAAUAGGGGAGGAAUGUCAGAGACAACAGGCAGGAGGAUUCGAGUUAUGACAAUAAGUCCUUGGCACUGGUGGCGCUGGCAGCCUGAGUGACACCCCAUAUCAAGUGCUAAACUUAUCCACCGGUCACCUGCAUUUGCCAAUCACUUUUGAAUGGCAUCACGGCUCCACUCCUGUUGCAGGCAUUGUCUCUAUGUUUUUAUAUCAAUUUGGGAAAUGAACCUGUGACCAUGGCGGCGCUAGCAUUAUCAGUUUUACCCAUAAAUGGGUUUGAUUACCCCUAUAACUUUAUUUUCAGUGAUGCCAUAUAAUAACCAUUUUUGGUUCCUCCGAAACAGAAAGGUUCAUUAUGGAACCAUGCAGCUAAAAAUGGUUCUUGUGGCAUUGUGUAGCCCCCUACACUAAAAUAUUCUUCUUUUGUCUAUAUGUGAAUCUAUUUAUAAUGCCUGCAUCAGUCAGUAUCACUGUCAGUGUCACAUUAGGCCAGUAUGUGCAUCAAAGCGUUGACUAAUGCCUGUGAAGCUGACAUCACAAUGAUAUGCUAAGCUAUUCUAGAUCCCUCUGUCCUAAAGAGAAGAAACGCCUACUAGCCAUGAACCUUCCCUUAAAAGAGUAUCCGAGUUGUACCCACUCUUACACACGAAACGUACACAAUAAUUGUGUAACAACAUUAAGCAAGGUUGUACGCUCGUCUCACUUUCCAAACAUUUUCCAUCCGGCAGAACCUCCUGAUAAUAAAAUGUACGGUUUCUGUUUACAGAAGGCACAUGUCUCUGCUCGUGUUCGCACCCACCACAACCACCUCGUUUUGAGAACAUGUAACAGCUGAGACACCAAACAGCUUAAGAGGCCGUGUGGGACAUAAUAGUAAGAACGAAUGGGGAGUCAGUAGAGCAGACUGACACCAAUGACUCACUACAGACAGACAUUUGGAUGUGGGGCAUGAAUACGGUUUUGGCAUAUAGUGUAAAUUUACAGAUAUUGUCUCAUUCUUACCCACUGUUUGUUUGGAGAGUAAUAAAGGGUCAUUUGUUUAAAGAGGUACUUGAGGAAGCAGAAAUUUGGAGAAUAAUUUUACAGUGUAUAUGCCAAACCUGUUUAAAAUUUGACACCAUCAUUGGACUUCGUAUGUUUUACUAUAUAUAUAUAACAGUUUGCGAAUCUUUAAUGAGGUUGGAAAACUAGGUAUAAAUAAGAUAUAAAGUUGUCUCAAGGUGUGCACAUCGGAAAUAUGCUUCAUGUGUCAACAUAUACACAGUUUUUGCACAUUUUGUAGCUCAUGUUGUCUGAGCAAAUUUAAACAGGCAAAUCACUCUGCAGUGAUACUUCAUGGUGUAAAUGUAAAUGCAAACAACCUCUUCCUAUACAACGUGACCCAGAGAGCUCUUCUAUUUGUAUACAGUAUGUGUGUGCAAGACCCUGGCCCAACCUUAAACCUCAAGCUUUUUUUAACACGCUGCCUUUCUUCACCGGAGGCUGUUAGAUUUUACAACAUCAGAUUUUUACUAUUAAAUAAACUGAGAUCAUAUGUACUGAAAA